Molecule: ribosomal RNA, 216 nt
Filed under: Glomeromycotina sp.
Lineage: Eukaryota; Fungi; Glomeromycota
Description: partial small subunit ribosomal RNA
Rfam family: Eukaryotic small subunit ribosomal RNA (bases 75-216)
Source: RNAcentral
GGGUCAGUAGGUUGGUCGUGCCACCGGUACGUACUGGUCUCACUGAUUCCUCCUUCCCGAAGAACCGUAAUGCCAUUAAUUUGGUGUUGCGGGGAAACAGGACUGUUACUUUGAAAAAAUUAGAGUGUUUAAAGCAAGCUAACGCUUGAAUACACCAGCAUGGAAUAAUGAAAUAGGACGAUCGAUCCUAUUUUGUUGGUUUCUAGGAUUGGCGUA